CGUAGGGUGCGAGCGUUAAUCGGAAUUACUGGGCGUAAAGCGUGCGCAGGCGGCUGUGCAAGACAGAUGUGAAAUCCCCGGGCUCAACCUGGGAACUGCAUUUGUGACUGCAUGGCUAGAGUGCGUCAGAGGGAGGUGGAAUUCCGCGUGUAGCAGUGAAAUGCGUAGAGAUGCGGAGGAACACCGAUGGCGAAGGCAGCCUCCUGGGAUGACACUGACGCUCAUGCACGAAAGCGUGGGGAGCAA
This 246-nucleotide ribosomal RNA is filed under the name uncultured bacterium. RNAcentral describes it as "partial 16S ribosomal RNA". It matches the Rfam family "Bacterial small subunit ribosomal RNA", at positions 526 to 771 of the family's 1533-position model. The record is from RNAcentral.